RNAcentral lists this ribosomal RNA (497 nucleotides) under uncultured bacterium. RNAcentral describes it as "partial 16S ribosomal RNA". It matches the Rfam family "Bacterial small subunit ribosomal RNA", at positions 28 to 507 of the family's 1533-position model. The record is from RNAcentral.
GAUGAACGCUGGCGGCGUGCCUAAUACAUGCAAGUCGAGCGAACAGAUGAGGAGCUUGCUCCUCUGACGUUAGCGGCGGACGGGUGAGUAACACGUGGAUAACCUACCUAUAAGACUGGGAUAACUUCGGGAAACCGGAGCUAAUACCGGAUAAUAUAUUGAACCGCAUGGUUCAAUAGUGAAAGACGGUUUUGCUGUCACUUAUAGAUGGAUCCGCGCCGCAUUAGCUAGUUGGCAAGGUAACGGCUUACCAAGGCAACGAUGCGUAGCCGACCUGAGAGGGUGAUCGGCCACACUGGAACUGAGACACGGUCCAGACUCCUACGGGAGGCAGCAGUAGGGAAUCUUCCGCAAUGGGCGAAAGCCUGACGGAGCAACGCCGCGUGAGUGAUGAAGGUCUUCGGAUCGUAAAACUCUGUUAUUAGGGAAGAACAAAUAUGUAAGUAACUAUGCACGUCUUGACGGUACCUAAUCAGAAAGCCACGGCUAACUACGUG